Long non-coding RNA from Saccostrea cuccullata (small rock oyster), 598 nucleotides. RefSeq lists it as uncharacterized. Lineage: Eukaryota; Metazoa; Mollusca; Bivalvia; Ostreida; Ostreidae. The transcript has 3 exons. The record is from RefSeq and is a predicted model, not a curated record.
GAAAAACAGUAUUGUGCUCAACGACUACUAAAGCACUUUUAGAGAUUCAUGUAAAUUUUUUGGAAAUUAAACAUAAUUUUAACCACUUAAAAAUAAAUGUUCCAACGAAGUAACAGCUUCUCUGCCAUUUUAAUCGGAGGGUCAGACGUUUCCUGUUCUUUCCUUUCCAGCAACUCCCUAUGUAUCUUGCUGAUGGUAGUCUGUAGUUUUGCUAAAGCACGCUCGUACGUUUGUUUCAAGGAUUUAUCAUUUUUCAGGAGUAGUCUGUACUUGAGGAACUCGGCCAAUACAGGGUCAUUGUUAGGGAGGAGUGCUUUCACGAUGUAGACUGUAGAAUCUGUAUCAAAGCUUGCAACUGAUGCAAAUUCUCGUGGUCGCCUGUGUUGCAAUGACUGCCCUUUUUCAACACAACUCCCUGAAGCUGUACCUGUGCCUUGUUCACCACUAGUUUUGACCCGCAUCCUAUUCCUUGUGCACCAAAAUUGUUUACUAGGUAAAAGAUCAAUUAGAAAAAAGGUUUGUAAGCAUAGGAGUCUUUUGAGAAACCCGAAUCCAAUCCUAAAUAAUUUAGAACUAACUCAAACCGAAAAAUUUUGGA